UACGUAGGGUGCAAGCGUUGUCCGGAAUUAUUGGGCGUAAAGAGCUCGUAGGCGGUUUGUCGCGUCUGCCGUGAAAAGUCCGGGGCUCAACCCCAGGCUUGCGGUCGAUACGGGCAGGCUCGAGUUCGGUAGGGGAGACUGGAAUUCCUGGUGUAGCGGUGAAAUGCGCAGAUAUCAGGAGGAACACCGGUGGCGAAGGCGGGUCUCUGGGCCGAUACUGACGCUCAUGCACGAAAGCGUGGGGAGCAAACAGG
Molecule: ribosomal RNA, 254 nt
Filed under: uncultured bacterium
Lineage: Bacteria
Description: partial 16S ribosomal RNA
Rfam family: Bacterial small subunit ribosomal RNA
Source: RNAcentral